This 414-nucleotide ribosomal RNA is filed under the name uncultured Actinomycetes bacterium. RNAcentral describes it as "bacterial SSU rRNA". It matches the Rfam family "Bacterial small subunit ribosomal RNA", at positions 945 to 1359 of the family's 1533-position model. The record is from RNAcentral. Lineage: Bacteria; Bacillati; Actinomycetota; Actinomycetes.
AUUAAUUCGAUGCAACGCGAAGAACCUUACCUGGGCUUGACAUAUAGAGGAUCGCUACAGAGAUGUGGUUUCCCUUGUGGCUUCUAUACAGAUGGUGCAUGGUUGUCGUCAGCUCGUGUCGUGAGAUGUUGGGUUAAGUCCCGCAACGAGCGCAACCCUUGUCUUAUGUUGCCAGCACGUUAUGGUGGGGACUCGUGAGAGACUGCCGGGGUCAACUCGGAGGAAGGUGGGGAUGACGUCAAAUCAUCAUGCCCCUUAUGUCCAGGGCUUCACACAUGCUACAAUGGCCGGUACAGAGGGCUGCGAUGCCGUGAGGCGGAGCGAAUCUCUUAAAGCCGGUCUCAGUUCGGAUUGGGGUCUGCAACUCGACCCCAUGAAGUCGGAGUCGCUAGUAAUCGCAGAUCAGCAACGCUG